Molecule: transfer RNA, 69 nt
Filed under: Opsarius caudiocellatus
Lineage: Eukaryota; Metazoa; Chordata; Actinopteri; Cypriniformes; Danionidae
Description: tRNA-Phe
Rfam family: tRNA
About the family: Transfer RNA (tRNA) molecules are approximately 80 nucleotides in length. Their secondary structure includes four short double-helical elements and three loops (D, anti-codon, and T loops). Further hydrogen bonds mediate the characteristic L-shaped molecular structure. tRNAs have two regions of fundamental functional importance: the anti-codon, which is responsible for specific mRNA codon recognition, and the 3' end, to which the tRNAs corresponding amino acid is attached (by aminoacyl-tRNA synthetases). tRNAs cope with the degeneracy of the genetic code in two manners: having more than one tRNA (with a specific anti-codon) for a particular amino acid; and 'wobble' base-pairing, i.e. permitting non-standard base-pairing at the 3rd anti-codon position.
Source: RNAcentral
GCUAGCGUAGCUUAAUAUAAAGCAUGGCACUGAAGAUGCCAAGCUGGGUCUUAAAAAGCCCCGCAUGCA